AUCACUUGUCCGCCUUUUGGCUAAGAUCAAGUGUAGUAUCUGUUCUUAUCAGAAGUUACUUUCUGGUUUUGUCCCACAAGUUAUGAUUGUUUAACCUAAUAAUUACAUUACUCAGAUAUAGGGCAAGUCUUCAUGUAGCGCCGCUCAAAGUAUACUUUAGGGCAGGGUUUCUCAACCUCAGCACUACUGCCAUAUUGGGCUUGAUAAUUCUUU
Molecule: small nuclear RNA, 213 nt
Organism: Macaca fascicularis (crab-eating macaque)
Lineage: Eukaryota; Metazoa; Chordata; Mammalia; Primates; Cercopithecidae
Gene: U2
Rfam family: U2 spliceosomal RNA
About the family: U2 is a small nuclear RNA (snRNA) component of the spliceosome (involved in pre-mRNA splicing). Complementary binding between U2 snRNA (in an area lying towards the 5' end but 3' to hairpin I) and the branchpoint sequence (BPS) of the intron results the bulging out of an unpaired adenosine, on the BPS, which initiates a nucleophilic attack at the intronic 5' splice site, thus starting the first of two transesterification reactions that mediate splicing.
Source: Ensembl